GACGAACGCUGGCGGCGUGCUUAACACAUGCGAGUCGAACGGAAAGGCCCUGCUUGCAGGGUACUCGAGUGGCGAACGGGUGAGUAACACGUGGGUGAUCUGCCCUGCACUUCGGGAUAAGCCUGGGAAACUGGGUCUAAUACCGGAUAGGAGCCAUUUUUAGUGUGAUGGUUGGAAAGUUUUUUCGGUGUAGGAUGAGCUCGCGGCCUAUCAGCUUGUUGGUGGGGUAAUGGCCUACCAAGGCGGCGACGGGUAGCCGGCCUGAGAGGGUGGACGGCCACAUUGGGACUGAGAUACGGCCCAGACUCCUACGGGAGGCAGCAGUGGGGAAUAUUGCACAAGGGGCGCAAGCCUGAUGCAGCGACGCCGCGUGGGGGAUGACGGCCUUCGGGUUGUAAACUCCGUUCGCUAGGGACGAAGCUUUUUGUGACGGUACCUAGAGAAGAAGCACCGGCUAACUACGUG
Molecule: ribosomal RNA, 465 nt
Filed under: uncultured bacterium
Lineage: Bacteria
Description: partial 16S ribosomal RNA
Rfam family: Bacterial small subunit ribosomal RNA
Source: RNAcentral